This 68-nucleotide transfer RNA is filed under the name Marmota monax (woodchuck). RNAcentral's name for it is "tRNA.Ala". The record is from RNAcentral. Lineage: Eukaryota; Metazoa; Chordata; Mammalia; Rodentia; Sciuridae.
GGUUGUGGCUCAGAGGUAGAGCCCUACGCCUAGCAUUCGUGAGGCACUGGGUUCGAUCCUCAGUACCA